GUAAGACUGGAAACAUCUGGGCUGAAUGGACUUUAGCAUCAAAAGAAGUUCCCAACUGUUAACUCGAAAAAUUGACUACAUUAAAAUGAAGCAGGUACCAGAGAUCCUUGGAAAUACCAAUGGGAAAACUCAGAAUUGUGAAGUGAAUCGUGAGUGUUCUGUCUACUUGGGCAAAGCACAACUUUCUGCCACUCUACAAGAAGGUGUCAUGCAAAAAUAUAAUGGCCAUGAUGCCCUUCCAUUUAUUCCAGCUGAUAAAUUGAAAGAUCUGACCUCUCGUGUGUUUAAUGGCGAGUCUGGGGCCCAAGAUGCCAAGCUGCGCUUUGAACCCCAGGAAAUAAAGGGAGUUGGAACACCACCCAACACUACUCCUAUCAAAAAUGGCUCUCCAGAAAUUAAGCUGAAAAUCACUAAAACCUACAUGAAUGGAAAGCCUCUUUUUGAAUCUUCCAUUUGUGGAGACAAUGGUGCAGAUGUGUCUCAGUCAGAGGAAAAUGAACAAAAGCCACCAAACAAGGAGAGGAGAAACAGAAAAAGAAGCAUAAAAUAUGACUCCUUACUUGAGCAGGGUCUUGUUGAAGCAGCAUUAGUAUCAAAGACUUCAAGCCCCACUGAAAAGAAG
Balearica regulorum gibbericeps (East African grey crowned-crane) is the source of this 622-nucleotide non-coding RNA. Lineage: Eukaryota; Metazoa; Chordata; Aves; Gruiformes; Gruidae. The record is from RefSeq and is a predicted model, not a curated record.